This is a long non-coding RNA of Patella vulgata (common limpet), 898 nucleotides long. RefSeq lists it as uncharacterized. The transcript is spliced from 3 exons. Lineage: Eukaryota; Metazoa; Mollusca; Gastropoda; Patellidae. The record is from RefSeq and is a predicted model, not a curated record.
AAAGUGAAAGAAAUGGAGUUAUUGUUAAUGAAUAAUAGAAUCGGACAGUUCACAAAGACUGUAGAUAUUUAUAGUCACUGUUGAUAUGUUGAUUGAAUAUUUAUUCUAUUCACUAUUUGUGAUCGGUUUUGACAUGAAAAUGGCGAGGUUGUGACGUAAAAUUGCCCAUGAAGAAUCCAUGAUGUUAGAUUGUUUAGCAGGUAUGGCUAGAAUGACAUGGUCUGUGAUGACUCUGUUGGUUAUCCUCGUUACAAUUAAAGCUGAUUGGUCCACAGAUCCAGAAUGGUCGAUACAGGUGUAUUUAAACGAUAACACAACGUUUCGAUGUAAUGACAGCAAUUCAACACUGGUACGUACAGACGAAAUAUGGUGGGUGCUUCCAAACGAUGCCAAAAUACAUGGAUAUUCUCAGAGAAACAAUGAAAAAUACGAACUAAUGGACGAUAACAAACUCAGGGGUGGAUUUUUAAAAAUUAAAAAUAUACAAAUGAGUGACAGUGGUGUGUAUUAUUGUCUCGUGAACAGAGGCCUCGAGUUUUAUACAAAAACCAACCAUGGAUUAAACCUUAUUGGGCCUUUACGAAGGGACAGAUUGGAGAUUUAUCGCCCCAGGUUCAUCAUUGCUGGAGCUCUCGCUGGAGGUUUCAUGCUGGCGAUGCUGUUACUCUGGUGUGUCUCUGAAUGUCGAUGGAAGGAGAAACUGGACCAAGAGGAUGAAACUCAGGAGGAAUUUUUCGAUUUUGCUGAUGAAUCAAGUGAAUAUGAAUAUGCGAAUGACGAUAAUUUGUCUAUAACUGCGAUUUCUGUUCGCUAUUCGGCAAAAUAUGUGUAUAAUAUUUAUAACAUAGAAAACCCUGUUUACCAAGAUACACAUCUCUAAUAAAAUGACUUACUCGGA